CACUCCUACGGGAGGCAGCAGUGGGGAAUUUUGGACAAUGGGCGAAAGCCUGAUCCAGCAAUGCCGCGUGUGUGAAGAAGGCCUUCGGGUUGUAAAGCACUUUUGUCCGGAAAGAAAUCCUUGGCUCUAAUACAGUCGGGGGAUGACGGUACCGGAAGAAUAAGCACCGGCUAACUACGUGCCAGCAGCCGCGGUAAUACGUAGGGUGCGAGCGUUAAUCGGAAUUACUGGGCGUAAAGCGUGCGCAGGCGGUUUGCUAAGACCGAUGUGAAAUCCCCGGGCUCAACCUGGGAACUGCAUUGGGGACUGGCAGGCUAGAGUAUGGCAGAGGGGGGUAGAAUUCCACGUGUAGCAGUGAAAUGCGUAGAGAUGUGGAGGAAUACCGAUGGCGAAGGCAGCCCCCUGGGCCAAUACUGACGCUCAUGCACGAAAGCGUGGGGAGCAAACAGGAUUAGAUACCCGAGUAGGCCCAUGA
This 475-nucleotide ribosomal RNA is filed under the name uncultured organism. RNAcentral describes it as "partial 16S ribosomal RNA". It matches the Rfam family "Bacterial small subunit ribosomal RNA", at positions 334 to 800 of the family's 1533-position model. The record is from RNAcentral.